This 429-nucleotide ribosomal RNA is filed under the name uncultured bacterium. Its description in RNAcentral is "bacterial SSU rRNA". It matches the Rfam family "Bacterial small subunit ribosomal RNA", at positions 355 to 776 of the family's 1533-position model. The record is from RNAcentral. RNAcentral also lists the same sequence under 1 other name.
UUAGGAAUAUUCGGCAAUGGGGGAAACCCUGACCGAGCAAUGCCGCGUGUGAGAUGAAGGCCCUAUGGGUUGUAAAUCACUUUUAUUUGGGAAGAAUUAUAAGUAGAGGAAAUGAUGCUUAUUUGACGGUACCUUUUGAAUAAGCCCCGGCUAACUACGUGCCAGCAGCCGCGGUAAUACGUAGGGGGCGAGCGUUAUCCGGAUUUAUUGGGCGUAAAGCGUGCGUAGGCGGUUUAUUAAGUCUAGAAUAAAAGCCCGAGGCUUAACCUCGGUUCGUUCUAGAUACUGGUAGACUAGAGUAUGGUAGAGGCAAAUGGAAUUCCUAGUGUAGCGGUGAAAUGCGUAGAUAUUAGGAGGAACACCAGUGGCGAAGGCGAUUUGCUGGGCCAUCACUGACGCUGAGGUACGAAAGCGUGGGUAGCAAAUAGG